Molecule: ribosomal RNA, 117 nt
Filed under: Pteropus alecto (black flying fox)
Lineage: Eukaryota; Metazoa; Chordata; Mammalia; Chiroptera; Pteropodidae
Source: RNAcentral
GUCUACAGCCAUGCCACCCUGAAGAAGCCCGAUGCCUGAUCUCGGAAGCUAAGCAGGGUCGGGCCUGGUUAAUACUUUUGAUGGGAGAUCACCUAGGAAGACCAGGUGCUGUAGGCA